AUGGUCAUGGACAGAAAAGUCAGUACUGAUCAGGCAAGCCAUGGGACUGGAAAGAAACAGGAAGAUGUCUGGGUGGAGAAUUAGUGGUUCAGAAUCAAGUAUCAUGGCAGAAAUCAAAAGUCCCUUCCAAGUCACAGGUCUGGGGGCCAUGAUGUUAGCAAUGACCAUGGAAGGCAUAAAAAUGACAAAACAUCCAUAGCAACCACAAUCAAUUGAGGCUGUUUGAGGGUUGACCUCAUUGUAGGCACUCUGCUAAGUGUGUCACUUGAAUUAUCUCAGCCAGUCCUCACGACCAUCCCAUAGGAGCUUGUUAUAGAAGCACACAUGUGAACAAGGCCUGGAGAGAAGUUCAGAGGAUUGUAAAAUCUUCCAGCUGCAAGAAGGCCAAGCAGAGAUUUCAGCUCUGUCUUCUGACUCAGCCCACAGGAAAGGCCAGGCAAGAGGAGGCAUUAAAUAAAGAGCUCAGUGACACACAGAGGUGUGAACCUGAGUGAGGCGGAGGGCUCCUUGACUUAUCCUGGGGCACACAGCAGGCAAAGCCCCUGGAGGCCCCGUGGCUGCAGAGGAGCUUAGACCUCACCUGGGGCACAGUGGGGCCGGGGCCAGUAGGUCUGACGAAUGAUUGUUCUUCCAGGAACAGGGAACGGUUCUUGCUGCUGUCCUUGCCCGCUCUUCCCUGCCCUCCCCCAUGGACAGGGUCAGGAUUAGGAGGCCAGCAGACCCCAGCCUAUGCUAUGGAAGUGAGAGAAGCAACAGAGGAGCCUUGUCCAAAGGCAAAAUCUGCCACAGUGGGUAGUUUCCAACAGUGAAAUCAAACAACACAAUGGCUUGUGGAUUUUUUUUAAUAACAAAAAAAGUAUUUGGGGACCACUUGGGUGGCUCAGUCAGUUGAGUGUCUGACUCUUUGAUUUCAGCUCAGGUCAUGAUCUUACAGUUUGUGGUCUCUGUGCUGACAGUGCAGAGCCUUCUUGGGAUUCUCUCUCUCCUUCUCUCUCUCUCUGCCCCUCCUCUGCUCCCUCUCUCUCUCUCUCAAAAAUGAAUAAAUAAAAUAAACAUUUAAAAAAAAGUAUUUUCAAGAUAAAUCUCAUGUAGAAGUCAAGAAUUUACAAAAGAUGAGUAGCAGAGAGAUUCUGGUUUAAAGAGAGAUGAAGGAAUCCCAGAAUGUCCUCCUUCCACCUAUUUCCAACCUAGAUACUUUCAAGGACACUAGGGCCAUAAGCAAGGUUGGA
RNAcentral lists this long non-coding RNA (1229 nucleotides) under Lynx pardinus (Iberian lynx). Lineage: Eukaryota; Metazoa; Chordata; Mammalia; Carnivora; Felidae. The record is from RNAcentral.